This is a non-coding RNA of Nematocida sp., 71 nucleotides long. The record is from Rfam. Lineage: Eukaryota; Fungi; Microsporidia.
GCGCUAAUGGUAUAAUGGUAGAACGCAACCCUUCCAAGGUUAAGACCCGGGUUCGAUUCCCGGUUAGCGCA